AGAACUACUUUAUACAGAAGCUGGGUUGUUGAAGUAUCUUUGCUGAGAGAUGGUUGCAGAGCCCAUUUGGGGCAGUCAGAAAUUUUGAUGUUUAUGAUACUGGAAAAUACACGUGUGGGAUUAGAGCGCCUUAUAUGUUCGUCGAGGCUGCAAAAGUUGAGUCACAAAGUCAAAAACGUGAAGCAAAUUUCUUGGUUAUCAACAUCUUCAGUUUCCAUCUGCUUGACAUCAAAAGUAUUGAAUCCAAAAGAAUUGGCUUCCU
Molecule: long non-coding RNA, 262 nt
Organism: Cornus florida
Lineage: Eukaryota; Viridiplantae; Streptophyta; Magnoliopsida; Cornales; Cornaceae
Exons: 2
Source: RefSeq, a predicted model, not a curated record